AUUGAACGCUGGCGGCAUGCCUUACACAUGCAAGUCGAACGGUAACAGGUCUUCGGAUGCUGACGAGUGGCGAACGGGUGAGUAAUACAUCGGAACGUGCCCGAUCGUGGGGGAUAACGAGGCGAAAGCUUUGCUAAUACCGCAUACGAUCUACGGAUGAAAGCGGGGGAUCUUCGGACCUCGCGCGGACGGAGCGGCCGAUGGCAGAUUAGGUAGUUGGUGGGAUAAAAGCUUACCAAGCCGACGAUCUGUAGCUGGUCUGAGAGGAUGAUCAGCCACACUGGGACUGAGACACGGCCCAGACUCCUACGGGAGGCAGCAGUGGGGAAUUUUGGACAAAGGGCGAAAGCCUGAUCCAGCCAUGCCGCGUGCAGGAUGAAGGCCUUCGGGUUGUAAACUGCUUUUGUACGGAACGAAAAGCCUCUUUCUAAUAAAGAGGGGUCAUGACGGUACCGGAAGAAUAAGCACCGGCUAACUACGUG
RNAcentral lists this ribosomal RNA (482 nucleotides) under uncultured bacterium. RNAcentral describes it as "partial 16S ribosomal RNA". It matches the Rfam family "Bacterial small subunit ribosomal RNA", at positions 30 to 507 of the family's 1533-position model. The record is from RNAcentral.